UACGUAGGGUGCAAGCGUUAAUCGGAAUUACUGGGCGUAAAGCGUGCGCAGGCGGUUAUGUAAGACAGAUGUGAAAUCCCCGGGCUCAACCUGGGAACUGCAUUUGUGACUGCAUAGCUAGAGUGCGGUAGAGGGGGAUGGAAUUCCGCGUGUAGCAGUGAAAUGCGUAGAUAUGCGGAGGAACACCGAUGGCGAAGGCAAUCCCCUGGACCUGUACUGACGCUCAUGCACGAAAGCGUGGGGAGCAAACAGG
This 253-nucleotide ribosomal RNA is filed under the name uncultured bacterium. RNAcentral's name for it is "partial 16S ribosomal RNA". It matches the Rfam family "Bacterial small subunit ribosomal RNA", at positions 524 to 776 of the family's 1533-position model. The record is from RNAcentral.